RNAcentral lists this long non-coding RNA (1792 nucleotides) under Linum usitatissimum (flax). Its description in RNAcentral is "long non-coding RNA (LUSI_LNC005810)". Lineage: Eukaryota; Viridiplantae; Streptophyta; Magnoliopsida; Malpighiales; Linaceae. The record is from RNAcentral.
AAAUUCAUCAACAUUAUUCCAGUUUAUUAACAUAUUAGAAGCAUCAUAAACAUUAAGGACGACAGUAAAAUCACCAGCGAUUAACCACGGAAGCCCACCUGCUUUCUCUAGCUAAUAUCUUCAAAUAUAUUCUUCCUUUUCUCAGCCAAGGUAGAGGCAUAAAAAAAGUACAGCAAAUCGAAUUGAGAAUAUCAAUCUCAACAUAAAUGCACUGGCUGGACUUUCACAAAAUACUGAGAGAAAUAUUAUUCUUCCAAACCAACCAAAUCUUCCCAAGAUCUCCAUGAAAAUAGAGAUCAGAGCACCACACUUUAAAUCAACAAGUUACUAAAUCAUUAAUAUAUACCCUUUUAUUCUAAGUUCAAGAAUAGCGCAAACAUAUAUGUUAUGCUUGUGUAAGUAAGAAAGUAAUUUAAUAUACCUACUAUAUUUAUUAAAACCUCGAAUAUUCCAUACCCAAAACUUCAUUUACGUAUAUGUUGUUGUUGUCCCAACACUUUGACCCCGACCUCCUCUGCCACAUUCUUUUUAUGUACAGGCAUAACUUUUCACUUGAUAGAAAAUCUCCAAAAUAGCAGGAGUUGGGUUCGUAAGUCCUCCUCAUCCAAUUCCUCAAUUUCAGGAGAGAUGAUAUCAUGACACUUCUCUAAUUCAGCAACAGGAGUCACAGGACUCGAGUAAGCUUUCUUUACCUCUGGCCCAGGAUUGCUUCCAACACUUCAAUCAUGUCCUGCACUUCAUUCUCAUUACUUAUAUUUACCUCCUUCACUUCAUUAGAAAUCUCUGGAAUAACACAAAUAGUAUCAUCUAGAAUUCCAAAAGAGUUUGGAUGAGACAAAAUAUCGACGAAAAACCAUCAAUAUUAUUUGUAGAGCUGUUUGCAACAACCAACUGUAACUGACUCUCAACUGAGUGAACAUCAUCAGCAACCUCCUUCCCUUUUAUAUCUUUAGGAGAGUCAACAUCAUCAGCAACUUCCUUCCCCUUUAUCUUUUAGGAAAGACAAUCUGCACUGACUUUUCAUGUUUCCUCCUCUACUAAGGAACAUACUUCUCAUUAAUUUUGAUUUUAAAACUAACAAUUGGGAUCAGGAUACACUCUCCAUCUUCCAGAAUAACUACAACCGAUUCAGGACAAGGUUUACUAAGUAAGACACAAACCUUAACAUCUAAUCCAUCAUGUAUAUAGCCGCCUACAGUGUGACCAACCUGACUAACAAUCCAAUCUAAACCUUUAGGAUAAAGAAGCGGCAUAUGGACAAAUUUAAGCGUGAUCCAAAUAGACUUCUCUUGAAUUUCAUUUUCCCACUUUCGAAGCAGGGUCAUAGAAUAAUGAAUAUUCCAAGGGCGAGCAAUAACCCAAUCGCAAAGAUUAACUAAGGGGAAUUCAAUUACAAAAAAUCCUUUCGAAACUUUUGAAAUCUAGACAUUACCUUCAUAUCCUCAGAAACGAUUUGCCAUAACAGCAAAAACUCUCAUCGGCGAAAUUGGACCCAUAAAUUGAGCAACGAGAGCGGUCUUCAUUCGCUACUGACCACUUUUCAAGGAAUUUUCAAAGCUCAGUCAACAAAACAGUCAUUCGUGAGCUCAAUGAAUUUCAAAUCAAGACGGGUAACAAUGGAGGCCUAAGUUUUUUAUGGGGAAGUCGAUGAAAAUGGAGAAAUGGAGGUAUCAAUAGGUGGUGAAUCAGACAUCAACAGUCAAACAAAAUCAAGCAACACAAAGGGAUCCAGAAAUCAAACGAUUCGCCGGCAAAAAAAUCCAUCGAGAGAGCUCCAAAAGAGCACACCCAC